AGAGUUUGAUCAUGGCUCAGAUUGAACGCUGGCGGCAGGCCUAACACAUGCAAGUCGAGCGGUAGCACAGAGAGCUUGCUCUCGGGUGACGAGCGGCGGACGGGUGAGUAAUGUCUGGGAAACUGCCUGAUGGAGGGGGAUAACUACUGGAAACGGUAGCUAAUACCGCAUAACGUCGCAAGACCAAAGUGGGGGACCUUCGGGCCUCAUGCCAUCAGAUGUGCCCAGAUGGGAUUAGCUAGUAGGUGGGGUAACGGCUCACCUAGGCGACGAUCCCUAGCUGGUCUGAGAGGAUGACCAGCCACACUGGAACUGAGACACGGUCCAGACUCCUACGGGAGGCAGCAGUGGGGAAUAUUGCACAAUGGGCGCAAGCCUGAUGCAGCCAUGCCGCGUGUGUGAAGAAGGCCUUCGGGUUGUAAAGCACUUUCAGCGGGGAGGAAGGCGUUAAGGUUAAUAACCUUGGCGAUUGACGUUACCCGCAGAAGAAGCACCGGCUAACUCCGUGCCAGCAGCCGCGGUAAUACGGAGGGUGCAAGCGUUAAUCGGAAUUACUGGGCGUAAAGCGCACGCAGGCGGUCUGUCAAGUCGGAUGUGAAAUCCCCGGGCUUAACCUGGGAACUGCAUUCGAAACUGGCAGGCUAGAGUCUUGUAGAGGGGGGUAGAAUUCCAGGUGUAGCGGUGAAAUGCGUAGAGAUCUGGAGGAAUACCGGUGGCGAAGGCGGCCCCCUGGACAAAGACUGACGCUCAGGUGCGAAAGCGUGGGGAGCAAACAGGAUUAGAUACCCUGGUAGUCCACGCCGUAAACGAUGUCGAUUUGGAGGUUGUGCCCUUGAGGCGUGGCUUCCGGAGCUAACGCGUUAAAUCGACCGCCUGGGGAGUACGGCCGCAAGGUUAAAACUCAAAUGAAUUGACGGGGGCCCGCACAAGCGGUGGAGCAUGUGGUUUAAUUCGAUGCAACGCGAAGAACCUUACCUGGUCUUGACAUCCACAGAACUUUCCAGAGAUGGAUUGGUGCCUUCGGGAACUGUGAGACAGGUGCUGCAUGGCUGUCGUCAGCUCGUGUUGUGAAAUGUUGGGUUAAGUCCCGCAACGAGCGCAACCCUUAUCCUUUGUUGCCAGCGGUUAGGCCGGGAACUCAAAGGAGACUGCCAGUGAUAAACUGGAGGAAGGUGGGGAUGACGUCAAGUCAUCAUGGCCCUUACGACCAGGGCUACACACGUGCUACAAUGGCAUAUACAAAGAGAAGCGACCUCGCGAGAGCAAGCGGACCUCAUAAAGUAUGUCGUAGUCCGGAUUGGAGUCUGCAACUCGACUCCAUGAAGUCGGAAUCGCUAGUAAUCGUAGAUCAGAAUGCUACGGUGAAUACGUUCCCGGGCCUUGUACACACCGCCCGUCACACCAUGGGAGUGGGUUGCAAAAGAAGUAGGUAGCUUAACCUUCGGGAGGGCGCUUACCACUUUGUGAUUCAUGACUGGGGUGAAGUCGUAACAAGGUAACCGUAGGGGAACCUGCGGUUG
This 1520-nucleotide ribosomal RNA is filed under the name Klebsiella pneumoniae. RNAcentral describes it as "bacterial SSU rRNA". It matches the Rfam family "Bacterial small subunit ribosomal RNA". Lineage: Bacteria; Pseudomonadati; Pseudomonadota; Gammaproteobacteria; Enterobacterales; Enterobacteriaceae. The record is from RNAcentral.